This 649-nucleotide long non-coding RNA is filed under the name Homo sapiens (human). RNAcentral's name for it is "HSALNT0198618". Lineage: Eukaryota; Metazoa; Chordata; Mammalia; Primates; Hominidae. The record is from RNAcentral.
AUGGAGAGACAUUUUGCCACACGAUGAAUCACACACCACAUCUCAUCCCCGAGCUUCAGCUGCAGGACAAUGCUGCCAGAGGCCUGGUCCUCAGAGCUCACGUAAGCAUCUCUGGUGUGCAGUAUUUUUACUCCGUUUUUGACCAAAGACACCUGAACAUUCCUGGAGAAAACAGUGAUGUGGUAGGUGAAGUAAUAGACCCCAGCAAUGUGGCACGUGAAUUUCCCCACUGCUGUAUCAUAAUGGUUGAAUUCAUUAUACAGGAUCUUAUCAAAUUUAAUGGGCACAUCUGAAGAAGGAAACUUGCUCAGCACCGUGAGCCCCACAGUGAAAGCACUUUUUGGCAAGACUAGAGUCUCACCGAUUUUCCCUUUCUCUCCUCGAUCUCCUUUCCAGCCUCUUAUUCCCCGGACUCCUGGCUCACCCUGGGGCCCCGUGGGUCCAGCUUCUCCCUUGGGACCAGGCUUUCCAAUAGGGCCCAUGGGGCCCGGUAAACCAGUUGGGCCCAAAGGCCCAAUGUUGCCCCUUGGCCCCUCAGGACCAGUGGGACCCACGUCACCCUUAUUCCCCUUCUGCCCCUGAGGCCCAGUCUCUCCUCGGAGGCCUUUCUCUCCCAUGGGCCCUGCAAGCCCCUUGGGGCCAUGUUUUC